This 3116-nucleotide long non-coding RNA is filed under the name Sus scrofa (pig). Its description in RNAcentral is "lncRNA (ENSSSCG00000063333.1)". The record is from RNAcentral. Lineage: Eukaryota; Metazoa; Chordata; Mammalia; Artiodactyla; Suidae.
AUCAUGAGGAAGUUGUGGAGCAGGGAUUUGGAUCCAAUCAUGGAGAUCUUAACUAUUUUCCUCUGAUGUGAGCUAAGUGAGUACAGUGUCUAUUGAAGACAUUCCCAGGCAAUAUCGUGGGGCUCAUUAUAAAAUAUGUUGUAAAUUAUAUUGUUGAAUUUAAUAGAAAAUUUUAAAGGAGCUUAUUAUGAGGUUGCAAAUAUUCUUUGUAACUAUUUAAAUAUGUUCUACAAAAUCCAUUACUUCUAAGGGUCUGUAUGGUAUUGGAGAGGUAAUGUAGUACUUACUCAUUGGAAAAAUGAUUUCUGGAGAGUUACAGCUUGUGUUGUUAUUGUUUUGGUACAAAUCCUGGUGCCAUCGCUUAUGAGCUUUGUGACAUUAACAACAUAACAUAAACUUCAUUACGACUUAGUGUCCUCAUGUCAAAAAGGACCCUUUAAUGUGUACUUCCUAAGGUUUUUAUAAGGAAUAAAAUAAUAGGUAUAAAUAUUUAGAACAGUGUUUGCCACAGAGGAAGUCAUCAAAAACAUUAUUUUAUACCAUAUAUAUUUUAUUUAUUUAUCUAUUUAUUUAUUUAGCUUUUGUUCUUUUAGUGCCACACCCAUGGCAUAUGGAGGUUCCCAGGCUAGGGGUCUAAUCGGAGCUACAGCUGCCGGCCUACGCCAGAGCCACAGCAAUGCCAGAUCUGAGCUGCGUCUGCGACUUACACCACAUCUCAGGGCAAUGCUGGAUCCUUAACCCACUGAGUGAGGCCAGGGAUCGAACCUGCAACCUCAUGGUUCCUAGUUGGAUUUGUUUCUGCUGUGCCACGACAGGAACUCCCUACCAUAUAUAUUUUAUUUUUUUUAAUUUUUUAAUUUUUUUGUUUUUUUGCCAUUUCUUGGGCUGCUCCUGCAGCAUAUGGAGGUUCCCAGGCUAGGGGUUGAAUUGGAGCUGCAGCCGCCAGCCUACACCACAGCCACAGCAAUACAGGAUCCCAGCCAUAUCUGCAACCUGCACCACAGCUCACGGCAACUCCAGAUCCUUAACCCACUGAGCAAGGCAAGGGAUUGAACCCUCAACCUCAUGGUUCCUAGUCGGAUUCAUUAACCACUGCGCCACAACGGUAACUCCCUACCAUAUAUAUUUUAAAAGGGGAGAACUAUAAAUAGGAGAGCUGAGAAUAAAAGCAUGGAAAUUUUUACCAGAUUAUCCUAUGAAAUGGUCCAGGAGCCCCUAAAGUAGUUGCCAAAAGGCCAUUUGCUGAUUAAAGCUAAUGUCUCAAAAGGGAAGGGUUUUAAUACUGAGAAACUUGAGAAAUAAAUGUAUUUUAUAUUUUCAAUGAAGAUAAAAUGAUAAAAAUCAUGUGACUUUAGUAGCCAAACACAUUUUUUAUCAGCGCAAAUGAAUAUAUGAAUUUUCAGGGAAAAGGGUUUUAAAUCAUAUUUCUAUGCCAAAGCAAUUAAAAUAAUUGUAUUUACUAUUUUAAAAUAUUUUAUCCACCCACAUAUCCUGUAGAAGAAGGAAACAUAACUGUCACAGUAAUAGCAAUACUUAGCAUCACUUACUGAGCAUUUACUCUAUCUGGCACUGUUUGAAGCAGGGUAGUUUAGGAUAGACAUAGGCAUAUGUAUGUACAAUAUUUAUGAAACAAGCUUUAAUGUGGGCUUGAAAAGGCCUUGCAAAUUAAUGAAUUGAAUAUUUUCAAAUACAGGCUUAUGUAUUAACUUUCAAUUCAGAAAUUGUAAAUAAAUCUAAGCCUUAUAGAUUCAGUUUUAUGAUAAAUGUCCUCAAGUAUUUCUUUUAGGGAAUACAAAGUUAUUACUUCUAUGCCAUCAACAUAUUCAUUUCAAGUGUUUAAAAAAUGUGUCAACCAACUAUUAAUCUAUUCUCAGUUAUUUCACAAGCAUAAAAAAUGAGUACGUUAAAAAAUUACUUAGGAAAAUCUAUUUUAAAUAUUUCCCCAAGACAAUGUACAUGGUUAAAUCCUAUCCUCCAUUUGGUAGAGUUUCAUUUACUAGGAAUUCUCAAUUCUAAACAUAGUGCCAGAUUUACAUAUUAUUUUGAUGAUUUAUCACAAGAUCUACUUGCUAGUGGACUUUCAGAUAUAUAUAAAUGCAAAGACUAGUAAAAUUAUAUUUUUUCCUAAGGAUUAAUUUUAUUUAUUGAAGAACAAAGAUCCUUUUUGAAGCUGUAUUUUUUUUGUGGGGUGAUGAGCCUUUUAAAAUAUUGUUAGACUACACAUGGAGUGGCAAAUGGUCCAUAGAACUAUUUCCACAUACUGUGAUUUCAUAUUAACUCCUUACUGAUUUUUUUAACUAUUUAAUUUUCCACUAUGGCUUGGUGUCUAGAAUCCAUUACAGAGUAAUAUGAAUACCCAAAUCCCAAUGUAUUCACAUGCCUUAUGACAUUAUAUAUAUUUUGUUGUUGCCUCCUUAUUAUAUAUAAUAUAUAUUUUUAUUGUUACCAUAUAUAUUUAUAUAUCUAUGUACAAUAUAGAUAUAUAUAGUUACCUUCUUUAAGUUUUUUUUUCUUUACUAUUCACUUUUAUUUCUGAAUUUUCCCAAUUUUACAAAUAGUUGUUUUGGAAAGUACUAUGAUAAAUAAAGAACACUCUGUAAUGUCCUAUGGGAUAAAACAAAUAAUUUAAGAUGAAGACCCCGAAUUCUACAUAGUCUAACUGACACAAGACAUCUAUGCAUAGUUACAGUCAAUAUUAAGGACAUAACAUAUGCAUAUAAUUUUGCCACUAACUUUCAAUUAUAUCAUUUUUAAUCCUCAUAAAAAUCAUGUGAAGUUAUCACUAGUCUUUUUUAUUGUGGAGGCCAUGAGCAGAUAAUUUUAAAUGGCUGAAUCCAGAUAGUCACAGCUAUUUUGACCCAAGUGCCCUGUCCUCUCCAUUUAGAAUGUCAACCGGAAUAGGAAAAGACCAGCUCAUUGUGAGGAAGCUUUUAAAAAUUACUUUAUAAGUUUUAUUAAAGUACAGUGGAUUCACAAGGUUGUGAUAAUUUCUGCUGUACAACCAAGUGACUUAGUAAUACAUGUACAGACAUCCACACUCUUUCAGAUUCUUUUUCCACAUAGCUUAUCACAGAAUAUUUGAAAAGAUCAAAAAAAAAUGAAAAACCCUCAGUCAG